ACUUGGUUUUACUAAAAGCUAGCUUGCUAAUCUGUCCCUCUCAAUAUUGGAUGCAUAUGAAAUGUAUACAAUUAAACUACAUUAUUGAUUUGAAAAGAAAGGACAGGAUUAUAUGCUUUUCUCAAUCAAGCAGUAAACUUUUCUCGAUGUUGCAAUUGCUUCCAUUUGCCAUACGCUAUGGGUCCGGGUUAGCAUGCAUGCUUAAUCAACCCAUGAAUGGCCACGAUCAUAUGACCUGAAUUAUACCAAAGCAAAUCAUGGCCAACAUGGGGGUA
RNAcentral lists this long non-coding RNA (275 nucleotides) under Elaeis guineensis (African oil palm). Its description in RNAcentral is "long non-coding RNA (EGUI_LNC020638)". Lineage: Eukaryota; Viridiplantae; Streptophyta; Magnoliopsida; Arecales; Arecaceae. The record is from RNAcentral.